Small nuclear RNA from Lynx canadensis (Canada lynx), 186 nucleotides. Its record names the gene U2. It matches the Rfam family "U2 spliceosomal RNA". From Rfam's summary of the family: U2 is a small nuclear RNA (snRNA) component of the spliceosome (involved in pre-mRNA splicing). Complementary binding between U2 snRNA (in an area lying towards the 5' end but 3' to hairpin I) and the branchpoint sequence (BPS) of the intron results the bulging out of an unpaired adenosine, on the BPS, which initiates a nucleophilic attack at the intronic 5' splice site, thus starting the first of two transesterification reactions that mediate splicing. The record is from Ensembl. Lineage: Eukaryota; Metazoa; Chordata; Mammalia; Carnivora; Felidae.
AUUGCUUCUCAGCCUUAUGGCUAAGAUCAAGUGUAGUAUCUGUUCUAAUCAGUUUAAUAUCUGAUACGUCCUCUAUCGGAGGACAACAUAUUAAAUGAAUUUUUGGAGCACGGAGAUGGAAUAGGAGCUUGCCCCGCCCACUCCACACAUUGACCUGGUUAAAAAAAAAAAAAGAAUAAACAUAAA